AUCACUAUCAAGUAAUAACAACUUGCUACAAUACCCCAGAUAACUCAUGCACCUGCUAGAGUGAUUCAUCUGCAUUUCUUUUAGAAUGCGUUCUUAUCAAUCGAAUCUCCCGAACCAACAAAGCUUGUUUCCAGAACUCCUCAUUAACAUGGUCCUUCCACUUGGAACAUUAUUUUGGCCUAUAAUAUCAAAUACAACGUCAUGAAGCAUAUAGCUAUUGCAAUGGCAAUUUCGUGCAACUUUACUCGUAACAUACUAUCACAUAAUAUCUCUAUUUCACACUUCUUCACAUCAUCCGUCUUGCUCCAGUUGUAUGCAUUGCACCCUUCUCAAGGUAUUCUUCCUUAUUGAUAUCAAACCUAAAUACCAAAAACACUCACUAUUUGGGAUAUGAUUCUUGAUAGUGAAUCUACAAUAAUCUUUCUUCAAUUGUGACUAAAACCAUCCUAUCAACAAAUACGGACAGCAUGAAUCCCUGUCUUUAAUGUGCGUCGUAGACUCAUCCAUGACUGGAGCAGGAAAAAUAUGAAUUUAAGGUAGGAUAGGUACCUGAUGCAAGCCAGGUUAUAGCCAUAUGAAAAAUGCCAUAAGGCCCAGUAUCCCACAUUAUUUCGUCCCUGCAUCAUUCCCAAAGCUUAAGAGAAAUUGUAUAAACAAAUCAAAUAUAAAAAAUGUAAAGAAUCACAAAUGAAAUUCACCAACUGUAUCACAAAAUUGCUUACCAACCUUCUGGGGUGUUGACAUGUUGUUUGAUGAUGAAUCCUCCAGCCUGGCCGACAAAUUAACAAGAAAAAUCUCAAAAUCAAGUAUAAAUGAAGAUGAAAUAUAACAAGUAGUUAACAUCAUAGUCAGAAGGUUAUUAAAUAUUUUUGCAUAUAUUUUUCAUAUAAAUGUUGGAAGGAGGGAUUAGGGAAUGUGUGUGGGGAGGGAUGUCCGCAAGUAUACUUAAUUUCCCCUUUUUUUUUCCAUUUUUUUAUCCGUGUUUAUUAGUCAGUGCUUUCCUGAGAUACUCUUAACUCAAUAUGCUAAAUAAUGCCACACACUCAAAUUAGCAAAUCUCUUUCCAAGUAAAUCUUCUGUCUCCUGUAAAUUAUGCACUUGGUGAUCCAAAUCACUACUAAUACCUAAUAUACACUUCCAUGAAUCGAUCUUUGAAAAAGACGCACAUAAUUCCAAAUUUGUCUAGUUGAUUAGGUGAAUUCAGACUAUAAAAAUAUAGAAUAGAGUGAAAAAUCACAAGCUAUAAGGCAUCAAUAUCACCCACUUGUAAAAUUCCAAAUGUGAACAAAAGAGCUGAUCAGUCUGAUCAGACCAAAUCACCGUGCAACUACAUCAAUCUAACUCGGUCAUAUUCAAAUCCUAUUAAAUCAAUUGAUUUAAAUUAAUUAUACAUCCCAACAAUCCAGAGUUUAAAAUUUAACAAGUAAGAUUAUAAAAACAGAAAAAAAUAAUAUAUAUACUUUUUUUCCAAAAAAAAAAAAAUAAUAAUUAAAAAAAAAAAAAAAAUCUAACCUGUUAAGGUCCUGAAGGAUCCUGUUGAGAAGGGCCAGCCAUGAGAUUCCAGAAAGAGUCAAGGUUGAGGUGAAGGUCAUCACAAUUAUCGUCCGCCUGAAACAAUUCUUCUAUUACCAUCGAAGAUCUCCCACGUGUCUUUCAAUCAUCAUUUGUCUUCUUAUCG
RNAcentral lists this long non-coding RNA (1678 nucleotides) under Olea europaea (common olive). RNAcentral describes it as "long non-coding RNA (OEUR_LNC008417)". Lineage: Eukaryota; Viridiplantae; Streptophyta; Magnoliopsida; Lamiales; Oleaceae. The record is from RNAcentral.